This 71-nucleotide transfer RNA is filed under the name Stegodyphus mimosarum. It matches the Rfam family "tRNA". Rfam says of the family: Transfer RNA (tRNA) molecules are approximately 80 nucleotides in length. Their secondary structure includes four short double-helical elements and three loops (D, anti-codon, and T loops). Lineage: Eukaryota; Metazoa; Arthropoda; Arachnida; Araneae; Eresidae. The record is from Rfam by way of RNAcentral.
GCCUUCGUGCUGCAAUGAUAGCACACUCGGCUGCUAUUUGAAAGGUCCAGGUUCGAGUCCCGGCGAGGACA